UGACUGCAUGAGGCUGUACGUAUCUGCAGCCUGCCCCUUUUCAUGGUGUUUAUCCACUCACACAGUGAUGAGCAGUGGUGGAGGCAAUGCCCAGAGCUGUGGCAGCCACCUUGCAGCCGUGAAGCACCAGUGGGAAUGACAGUCAAGAGAACCACGGAGAUGCCAGCCCCUGGACCCACAGCAGCAGCACCUGCUUCCAGACUCAGAGUGUGAGAAAAAAAUAAACUCCUAUUUGUUUAUGGCAAGAGACAAGGUCUAGCUCUGUGAUGCAGGCCGGAGGACAGUGGUGUGAUCACAGCUCACUGCAGCCUUGAACUCCUGGGUUCCAGCAAUCCUCCCACCUCAGCCUCCUUAGUAGGCGUGGCUACAGUAAUGGAAGACAGCAAAAGAAGUUUGGAGAUUCCUGGUUUAAAGCAUUUAAAGCCUCUGUGAAAAUUUGCCCAGGCCAACAACUUCACUUUCCACACUCAGUGCCACGAAGUGCAGCUCUAAGCUGGGGAUUUCUGUGCAGAGAUGAUCCACUGAGUGCAACCCACCACCGUGCGGACACCACCCCUGCAGAAUCAUCUGUGAAAACAACCCCAGGCCCAGACAUAGGGGCCAGCUAAGCUUCGUAGCCCUCGAAAUACAGGGAGUGCCCCCUCUGGACCCUCGAGCCCACAGUCCAUCCACCACAGAGGUGUCUGCUGCUCAUCAGAUAGUUCCUACCAAGAAAAUGCUGUGUGAACCCAUCUGUGUGGCAAACCGGCACGGGGAGAAAGCUGACUUCCAAGGACGUCUACCAACUGUCACUUGCAAACCAGAACUUGCCUCUUUGUAGAUGAAGACUGGCAGGGCUGAAGAAAUGAUCUCAUGUUGAAAUUAAUGAUGAGCUUC
Molecule: long non-coding RNA, 876 nt
Filed under: Homo sapiens (human)
Lineage: Eukaryota; Metazoa; Chordata; Mammalia; Primates; Hominidae
Description: novel transcript
Source: RNAcentral